Molecule: ribosomal RNA, 110 nt
Filed under: Cnuibacter physcomitrellae
Lineage: Bacteria; Bacillati; Actinomycetota; Actinomycetes; Micrococcales; Microbacteriaceae
Source: RNAcentral
CGGCGGCCAUAGCGAGAGGGAAACGCCCGGCAACAUUCCGAACCCGGAAGCUAAGCCUCUCAGCGCCGAUGGUACUGCAGGGGCGACCCUGUGGGAGAGUAGGACACCGC